Molecule: ribosomal RNA, 441 nt
Filed under: uncultured bacterium
Lineage: Bacteria
Description: partial 16S ribosomal RNA
Rfam family: Bacterial small subunit ribosomal RNA
Source: RNAcentral
CCUACGGGAGGCUGCAGUGGGGGAUAUUGCACAAUGGGGGAAACCCUGAUGCAGCGACGCCGCGUGGGCGAAGAAGUAUUUCGGUAUGUAAAGCCCUAUCAGCAGGGAAGAAGAAAUGACGGUACCUGAGUAAGAAGCACCGGCUAAAUACGUGCCAGCAGCCGCGGUAAUACGUAUGGUGCAAGCGUUAUCCGGAUUUACUGGGCGUAAAGGGUGCGUAGGUGGUUUCUUAAGUCAGAGGUGAAAGGCUACGGCUCAACCGUAGUAAGCCUUUGAAACUGGGGAACUUGAGUGCAGGAGAGGAGAGUGGAAUUCCUAGUGUAGCGGUGAAAUGCGUAGAUAUUAGGAGGAACACCAGUUGCGAAGGCGGCUCUCUGGACUGUAACUGACACUGAGGCACGAAAGCGUGGGGAGCAAACAGGAUUAGAUACCCGAGUAGUC